UUUGGUUCGCCGGGAUGCCCAUUUUUGCCUGGACUAUUUUAUUCUUUUCGUCCAGCGGGUCUCUUUAUAUGAAGUAUUUUUUAACUGCGUCCGCAUUCACGGGGGAUGGAAAAUCCUCGCCAUCCAUGGUCGUUAGCAACAAGGCUCCGCCAGAGAAAACCUUCUUGACCACGAAUGGACCUUCAUAAUUGGGUGUCCAUUUGCCCCUACGAUCAUUUUGAGGAGGAAAGAUC
Molecule: long non-coding RNA, 233 nt
Filed under: Lathyrus oleraceus (garden pea)
Lineage: Eukaryota; Viridiplantae; Streptophyta; Magnoliopsida; Fabales; Fabaceae
Description: Pisum sativum (pea) long non-coding RNA (PSAT_LNC023077)
Source: RNAcentral